UUCCGGUUGAUCCUGCCGGAGGCGACCGCUAUUGGAGUUCGAUUAAGACAUGCGAGUCUGAGCAUUAGCUCGGCGUACCGCUCAGUAACACGUGGGUAACCUGCCCUAUCGUUUUGAAUAACCUCGGGAAACUGAGAACAAUACAUCAUAGUCCACUACGCCUGGAACGGUGAGUGGAUGAAGGUAGGAUGGGCCUGCGGCGUAUCAGGUUGUAGGGGGUGUAAUGGACCUCCUAGCCAUCGACGCGUACGGGUGUUGGGAGACAUAGCCCGGAGAUGGAUUCUGAGACACGAAUCCAGGCCCUACGGGGCGCAGCAGUUACGAAAACUUGGCAAUGCGGGAAACCGUGACCAGGGAACUCCAAGUGAGUCUCUUUUAGGGGCUCUUUUCUUGACUCUAAAACGGUCUUGGAAUAAGGGGUGGGUAAGGACGGUGCCAGCCGCCGCGGUAAUACCGGCGCCUCAAGUGGUCGUCGCUUUUAUUGGGCCUAAAACGUCCGUAGCCGGUUUGGUACAUUCGUGGGUAAAUCAGCUCGCUCAACGAGUUGAAUUCUGCGAGGACGGCCAGACUAGGGACCGGGAGAGGUGUGGGGAACUCUCAGGGUAGGGGUAAAAUCCUGUCAUCCUGAGAGGACCACCUGUUGCGAAGGCGCCACACUAGAACGGAUCCGACGGUCAGGGACGAAGCCUAGGGGCACGAACCGGAUUAGAUACCCGGGUAGUCCUAGGUGUAAACGCUGUGGACUUGGUGUUGGGGAAGCCCAGAGCUUUCCCAGUGCCGUAGCGAAGGUGUUGAGUCCACUGCCUGGGGAGUACGGUCGCAAGGCUGAAACUUAAAGGAAUUGGCGGGGGAGCACUGCAACCGGAGGAGUGUGCGGUUUAAUUGGAUUCAACGCCGGG
This 899-nucleotide ribosomal RNA is filed under the name uncultured archaeon. RNAcentral describes it as "bacterial SSU rRNA". It matches the Rfam family "Archaeal small subunit ribosomal RNA", at positions 1 to 922 of the family's 1478-position model. The record is from RNAcentral.